AAUGAUCAAGUGUCAAAAGGGCAUUUGGUGGAUGCCUUGGCAUGCACAGGCGAUGAAGGACGUGAUACGCUGCGAUAAGCCGUGGGGAGCUGCGAAUAAGCUUUGAUCCGCGGAUUUCCGAAUGGGGAAACCCACCUCUGGUACUGGAAGAUCGGAAUUGGUCUGGUGGAGCGAUCCGCCGGACCGGUUGCGGUUUCCAGUAUCGAGAAGAGGUAUCUAACUCUGAAUACAUAGGGGUUAGAAGCGAACGCGGGGAACUGAAACAUCUCAGUACCUGCAGGAAAGGACAUCAACCGAGACUCUGCUAGUAGCGGCGAGCGAACGCGGACCAGGCCAGUGGCGAUUUGAAGAAGAAGCGGAACACGUUGGAAAGCGUGGCAAGAGUGGGUGACAGCCCCGUACGCAUAAUGUCUUCUUAUCGUCCUCGAGUAGGGCGGGGCACGUGAAACCCUGUCUGAAAUUGGGGGGACCACCCUCCAAGCCUAAGUACUCGUGCAUGACCGAUAGCGAACCAGUACCGUGAGGGAAAGGUGAAAAGCACCCCGACAAGGGGAGUGAAAGAGAACCUGAAACCGAAUGCCUACAAACAGUGGAAGCCUGAAAUGGUGACCACGUACCUUUUGUAUAAUGGGUCAGCGACUUAGUCUGGCGAGCAAGCUUAAGCCGAUAGGUGGAGGCGUAGCGAAAGCGAGUCUGAACAGGGCGUUCAGUUCGUCGGAUUAGACCCGAAACCGAGUGAUCUAGCCAUGAGCAGGUUGAAGGUGCGGUAACACGCACUGAAGGACCGAACCCGCAUCUGUUGCAAUAGAUUGGGAUGACUUGUGGCUAGGGGUGAAAGGCCAAUCAAACUCGGAAAUAGCUGGUUCUCCGCGAAAUCUAUUUAGGUAGAGCGUCGGAUGAAUACUCCAGGGGGUAGAGCACUGGAUGGGCUAGGGGGACUUACCGUCCUACCAAACCUAACCAAACUCCGAAUACCUGGAAGUACUAUCCGGCAGACACACGGCGGGUGCUAACGUCCGUCGUGGAGAGGGCAACAACCCUGACCACCAGCUAAGGUCCCCAAGUCACGGCUAAGUGGGAAAGGAUGUGAGGUUUCCAAAACAACCAGGAUGUUGGCUUAGAAGCAGCCAUCAUUUAAAGAAAGCGUAACAGCUCACUGGUCUAAUAGAGACUUUGCGCCGAAAAUGUAACGGGGCUCAAGCCGUGCACCGAAGCUGUGGGCUUGUCUUUGACAAGCGGUAGCGGAGCGUUCUCUAGGCUGAUGAAGCGGGAUCCGUGAGGACCCGUGGAGGUAUGAGAAGUGCGAAUGCUGACAUGAGUAACGAUAAAGGGAGUGAGAGACUCCCUCGCCGAAAGUCCAAGGGUUCCUGCUUAAAGUUAAUCUGAGCAGGGUUAGCCGGCCCCUAAGGCGAGGCCGAAAGGCGUAGUCGAUGGGAACCACGUUAACAAUCGUGGGCCUGGUGGGAAGUGACGGAUUGCGUAUGUCGUAAGGUCUUAUUGGAUUGAUCUUGCGGCGAAGCGGUCCCGGGAAAUAGCCCCACCGUAUAGACCGUACCCGAAACCGACACAGGUGGACUGGUAGAGUAUACCAAGGCGCUUGAGAGAACUCUGCUGAAGGAACUCGGCAAAUUGCACGCGUAACUUCGGAAGAAGCGUGACCUUGCAUCGGGCAACCGGUGUGAGGUGGCACAGACCAGGGGGUAGCGACUGUUUACCAAAAACACAGGGCUCU
Molecule: ribosomal RNA, 1732 nt
Filed under: Consotaella salsifontis
Lineage: Bacteria; Pseudomonadati; Pseudomonadota; Alphaproteobacteria; Hyphomicrobiales; Aurantimonadaceae
Description: 23S rRNA. Bacterial LSU
Rfam family: Bacterial large subunit ribosomal RNA
Source: RNAcentral